CUACGGGUGGCUGCAGUGGGGAAUAUUGCACAAUGGAGGAAACUCUGAUGCAGCAACGCCGCGUGGAGGAUGACACUUUUCGGAGCGUAAACUCCUUUUAUAUAGGAAGAAGAUGACGGUACUAUAUGAAUAAGCGCCGGCUAACUCCGUGCCAGCAGCCGCGGUAAUACGGAGGGCGCAAGCGUUACUCGGAAUCACUGGGCGUAAAGAGCGUGUAGGCGGAUUAAAAAGUCAGAAGUUAAAUCCUAUAGCUUAACUAUAGAACUGCUUCUGAAACUCUUAAUCUAGAAUGUGGGAGAGGUAGAUGGAAUUUCUGGUGUAGGGGUAAAAUCCGUAGAGAUCAGAAGGAAUACCGAUUGCGAAGGCGAUCUACUAGAACAUUAUUGACGCUGAGACGCGAAAGCGUGGGGAGCAAACAGGAUUAGAUACCCCUGUAGUC
RNAcentral lists this ribosomal RNA (439 nucleotides) under uncultured bacterium. RNAcentral describes it as "partial 16S ribosomal RNA". It matches the Rfam family "Bacterial small subunit ribosomal RNA", at positions 339 to 795 of the family's 1533-position model. The record is from RNAcentral.